AGAGUUUGAUUAUGGCUCAGGAUGAACGCUAGCUACAGGCUUAACACAUGCAAGUCGAGGGGCAGCAUUGGGGUAGCAAUACUCAGAUGGCGACCGGCGCACGGGUGAGUAACACGUAUCCAACCUGCCGCUUACUCGGGGAUAGCCUUUCGAAAGAAAGAUUAAUACCCGAUGGUAUAAAGAGUUCGCAUGUUCUCUUUAUUAAAGAAUUUCGGUAAGCGAUGGGGAUGCGUUCCAUUAGAUAGUUGGCGGGGUAACGGCCCACCAAGUCUACGAUGGAUAGGGGUUCUGAGAGGAAGGUCCCCCACAUUGGAACUGAGACACGGUCCAAACUCCUACGGGAGGCAGCAGUGAGGAAUAUUGGUCAAUGGACGAGAGUCUGAACCAGCCAAAAGUAGCGUGAAGGAUGACUGCCCUAUGGGUUGUAAACUUCUUUUAUAAGGGAAUAAAGUGAGGGACGUGUCCCUUUUUGUAUGUACCUUAUGAAUAAGGAUCGGCUAACUCCGUGCCAGCCGCCGC
RNAcentral lists this ribosomal RNA (519 nucleotides) under uncultured bacterium. Its description in RNAcentral is "bacterial SSU rRNA". It matches the Rfam family "Bacterial small subunit ribosomal RNA", at positions 8 to 518 of the family's 1533-position model. The record is from RNAcentral.